AGUCUGUUGUUUUUUAUAAUAGAUCUUUUCUGCCCGGUGUGUAUUUAAACGGCCGCGGUAUUUUGACCGUGCAAAGGUAGCAUAAUCAUUUGUCCUUUAAAUGGGGACUGGUAUGAAGGAAAGGACGAGAUCCUUGCUGUCUCUUUUUUGUUGUUGGAAUUUGCUGUUUUUGUGAAGAAGCAGAAAUUGUAUAAAAAGACAAGAAGACCCUAUUAAGCUUGUAUUUUUUUGUGUUUCUUUGUUGUUUUUGAAUAAUAUUUGUGAGGGAAAGUAAAAAUUUGGUUGGGGUGACUGGGGAAGAAGAGAUCUUCCUUGAUAGAUAAAAACUGUAGGUUUAAGUUUGACCCAAGAAGUUUUGGUUGAUAGAAUUAGUUACUAUAGGGAUAACAGCGUAAUCUUUUCAGAGAGUUCUUAUUGGAGAAAAGGUUUGCGACCUCGAUGUUGACUUGUUGUUUCCUUAGAAGGUGUAGUAGCUGUUAGGGUUGGUCUGUUCGACCAUUAAAACGAUACGUGAGUUGAGUUCAGAUC
RNAcentral lists this ribosomal RNA (528 nucleotides) under Corsoua sp. Pili_CB174_CB028_18_02. Its description in RNAcentral is "partial 16S ribosomal RNA". It matches the Rfam family "Bacterial large subunit ribosomal RNA", at positions 1828 to 2617 of the family's 2925-position model. Lineage: Eukaryota; Metazoa; Nemertea; Pilidiophora; Heteronemertea; Lineidae. The record is from RNAcentral.